CAAUGAUCGACACUGAACAAAUGUUUAAGAGCUGUCUGUGCAUAUUAGAUAGUGCAACCUAACAGUUUACUUAACAGAGGUCCUCAGAAAGAGUGUGUAUGUUUGUGUGUGGACAUUUUGAGUCUGCUGGGAUAUGUGCUAUGACCUUAAGGAAAUGCAGUCAGGAUCGCAGGGAGCUUGGAGCCUACAUCCCAGAGGACUCCCAAGGUGGGGGACACCCUGGACCCAUCGCAGGGCACAUUCACACACAUUACGGAGAAUUUGGGAAUGCGAAUCAGCCUACAAGGCGUGUCUUUGGACUGGGGAGGAAACUGGAGUACCCGGAGGAAACCCCCAAAUCAUGUGAAGAACAUGCAAGCUCCAUACAGUCAAACCCCCAACUCCGGAGGUGCUAGGCAAAUGUGCUAACCACUAAUUCACCGUGCUGCCCAUCUACAGGAAACUUAAGCAUAGACGGUAAAAACCAUUCCCUUGUAGUUUUGUAGUUGCCGACCCAUUGCUGGGCACAAUCGCGCACACACAUUCACACAUCCAUUCACACACUAUGGACAAUUUGGAAAUUCCAAUCAGCCUACAACUCAUGUCUUUUGAAUGGGAGAGGAAACCGGAGUGUGUGUUGUAUUCUGAGAUGUGAUUCUGUCCACCAUGGAUGUAACAAGUGGUAAUUUGAGUUAUUUGUCAGCCCAAAACAGUCUGAACAUUCUCCUCUGACCUCUCUAUUUCACGCCGCAUUUCCAUGUCCACUAAUUGGAUGGUUUUGUUUUGUUUUGUUUUGUUUUGUUUUUUUCCACACCAUUCUGUGUAAACUCUAGACUGUUAUGCAUGAAAGUUUUUUUUCUGAAAUAUUCAAACCAGUUCAUCUGGCACAAACAAUCAUGCCACCGAGAUGACAUUUUUCCCCAUUCUGACAUUUGAUGUGAACAUGAAGCUCUUGAGCUGCAUGAGUUUAUACGUUGUACUGCUACCACAUGAUUGGCUGAUUCAGUAAUUGCAUGAAUGAGUGCAUGCACACAAUAAUUGCAUACUGCUUUUGAGAGUUCACUGAUGAAUUACUGUUGCAUGUUCAGAGUUUGAGGGCUAUUUCUUGUAUAAGAGUUUACCCAGCAUUUCGUAAGACCAGAAAAUCCAUGGAGAGCAGAAUAUGCUGUCAAUCAAACAAAACGGCAAUUAAACAGAAGAGGGACCAUCUGGUAUAGAAGUACAUGAAGGUUUCUUCAGUGAGUAGCAAUAGAAAUGUGUCUGACAUUGUAGUACAUGGUUUGCUUGGGAUUAAUAAUGGUGUAUCAAUGUUUUUUGACAUAAACUCAGCCAAGGUUCAAUUCCGCUAUCCGGUGUCUACUGUUUUCCUCAUUCCCUUCAGAAAAGUGGUGACGAUGCAUGGACACUUGAUUAUCAUAUUUGUAAUAGGCAACACAGAUGGCUAAUUUCGAAGGCUCUUAAUCAGGGCCAAAUGGCUUAUUAGAUCAAACAGUAAAUUGUUUACUCUGUUGUUGAGUUUACUUUCAGUUAUUUCGC
Ictalurus punctatus (channel catfish) is the source of this 1515-nucleotide long non-coding RNA. Lineage: Eukaryota; Metazoa; Chordata; Actinopteri; Siluriformes; Ictaluridae. The record is from Ensembl.